Molecule: ribosomal RNA, 498 nt
Filed under: uncultured bacterium
Lineage: Bacteria
Description: partial 16S ribosomal RNA
Rfam family: Bacterial small subunit ribosomal RNA
Source: RNAcentral
UGGGGAAUAUUGCACAAUGGGCGAAAGCCUGAUGCAGCGACGCCGCGUGCGGGAUGAAGGCCUUCGGGUUGUAAACCGCUUUUGAUUGGGAGCAAGCGAGAGUGAGUGUACCUUUCGAAUAAGCACCGGCUAACUACGUGCCAGCAGCCGCGGUAAUACGUAGGGUGCAAGCGUUAUCCGGAAUUAUUGGGCGUAAAGAGCUCGUAGGCGGUUUGUCGCGUCUGGUGUGAAAGUCCAUCGCUUAACGGUGGAUCUGCGCCGGGUACGGGCAGGCUAGAGUGCGACAGGGGAGACUGGAAUUCCCGGUGUAACGGUGGAAUGUGUAGAUAUCGGGAAGAACACCAAUGGCGAAGGCAGGUCUCUGGGUCGUCACUGACGCUGAGGAGCGAAAGCGUGGGGAGCGAACAGGAUUAGAUACCCUGGUAGUCCACGCCGUAAACGGUGGAUGCUGGAUGUGGGGCCCCAUUCCACGGGUUCCGUGUCGGAGCUAACGCGUUA